Molecule: long non-coding RNA, 728 nt
Organism: Gadus macrocephalus (Pacific cod)
Lineage: Eukaryota; Metazoa; Chordata; Actinopteri; Gadiformes; Gadidae
Exons: 3
Source: RefSeq, a predicted model, not a curated record
GCCAGGCCCGCAGCCAGGACCGGAGCCAGGCCCGGAGACGCGGCCCGAAGACGCGGCGGAAGACGCUGUGGCACCGUCAACAUCAGCGCCAUCAUUUUCUACGUUUAAACGAGUGAAAACAUACCGGAGAGCAACAGUAACAGAAAAAAAACUGAAUGCCUUUGCCCUGUUGGCAAUUGAGAAUAGAUUUACAACCUCCCUGGAUUUUGAAGACAUUAUAGAGGACUUUGCCUCAUCAAAACUCAGGAGAAAGCAUCUGUAAAUAUCGUGAUGAUGCUGUCAAGAUGUGUUUCUACUGCAAUGGAGGCCUGUGGUGCUGGAAGGCUGAAGAUUAUCCCUGAGUGGAGCAUGCUAAAUGAGAGUGUUGGAAAAUUGAAGAUAGGUGAUGCUUGUCCAUGAAAAUAAACAUCUUUACCACUACAGCACACUUUCUCUGACUGCAUAUUUUAUUAGUCUUUGUAUAUUUGACAACUUAUUUAACUAUUCAAUUUAAUUAACACAUUUAAUUAAGAUUUUCUGCAAAAUGCAAUAGCUUACUACAUUUAUCUUUUUUGCUCUGUUUACAUAGCAAUGCUGACACAGUGACACCUAUUGGUGAUUUACUGGGACUACUGCCUUAACAAUGACACUGGCAAUGGAUAAGAUAAGGAUAAUUUAAUAGCAUUUAAUAGAGCCGUGUAAUAACGUAUAAAUAAUAAAAAUCAAAAAAUAGUCUGAUAGACUGUUUA